GGGUGCGAUCAUACCAGCACUAAUGCACCGGAUCCCAUCAGAACUCCGAAGUCCUAAGCUAGUGCUUGGGCGAGAGUAGUACUAGGACUUGGGUGGCGCACCUGGGAAGUCCUCGUCCUCGUACCCC
Molecule: ribosomal RNA, 127 nt
Filed under: Erythranthe guttata (spotted monkey flower)
Lineage: Eukaryota; Viridiplantae; Streptophyta; Magnoliopsida; Lamiales; Phrymaceae
Source: RNAcentral